Molecule: transfer RNA, 74 nt
Filed under: Elusimicrobia bacterium RIFCSPLOWO2_01_FULL_54_10
Lineage: Bacteria; Pseudomonadati; Elusimicrobiota
Description: tRNA-Pro
Rfam family: tRNA
About the family: Transfer RNA (tRNA) molecules are approximately 80 nucleotides in length.
Source: RNAcentral
CGGGGUGUAGUAUAAUGGCAGUACGCGCCCUUGGGGUGGGUGUAGCCGGAGUUCGAUUCUCCGCACCCCGACAA